UUGAAGUCCAUCUACGUGCGAAGACAAAACAUCUUUUUACACCUGAAAAAUACCUGGAUACCACCUGUAACCAGGCGGAAGUCCUUCUGCCUUACAGGAAUCAUUCAGGUGAUCCAACAUCACCAAAGAACCAGACCCAGUUCAGUUAGAUGGAACAGAACCGGCCCGAGCAGAACCACAGAUUCAGAAUCUGGGUCAGGGUUCUGUGGAGGAUCCAGAAGCUUCUGGUCUGCUCUUUGUUUCUCAUUGUCAAUAAAGUUUUAUCUCCCAAAGCAGGAAGUGGGUGAGAUGAUGAGUCGGCGUCACGGGAUGAAAGCUGCUGAUGGAUCAUGACUCAGCAGGAAAACUGAAGACCCAGAUGUGAUCCAGAAGUUUUCCGUUCUGCUCCUUCCGGAUCAUCGACCAGCAAAAACCAAGACAGACAAGUUACAAGUUUUUAUUUUGCUUUAAAAGAUAAACUGAAUUUGAUCCUAAA
This is a long non-coding RNA of Poecilia latipinna (sailfin molly), 475 nucleotides long. RefSeq lists it as uncharacterized. The transcript is spliced from 2 exons. Lineage: Eukaryota; Metazoa; Chordata; Actinopteri; Cyprinodontiformes; Poeciliidae. The record is from RefSeq and is a predicted model, not a curated record.